Molecule: transfer RNA, 75 nt
Filed under: bacterium
Lineage: Bacteria
Description: tRNA-Gly
Rfam family: tRNA
About the family: Transfer RNA (tRNA) molecules are approximately 80 nucleotides in length. Their secondary structure includes four short double-helical elements and three loops (D, anti-codon, and T loops).
Source: RNAcentral
GCGGGCGUAGCUCAGUGGUAGAGCCUUUCGUUGCCAACGAAACUGUCGAGAGUUCGAAUCUCUUCGCCCGCUCCA